RNAcentral lists this ribosomal RNA (793 nucleotides) under uncultured bacterium. RNAcentral's name for it is "bacterial SSU rRNA". It matches the Rfam family "Bacterial small subunit ribosomal RNA", at positions 8 to 795 of the family's 1533-position model. The record is from RNAcentral.
AGAGUUUGAUCCUGGCUCAGAUUGAACGCUGGCGGCGUGCUUAACACAUGCAAGUCGAGCGGUAGCAGGCGUAGCAAUACGUGCUGACGAGCGGCGAACGGGUGAGUAAUGCUUUGGAAUCUACCUUUUAGUGGGGAAUAACCUGGGGAAACUCAGGCUAAUACCGCAUACGACCUACGGGUGAAAGCGGGGGAUCGCAAGACCUCGCGCUAAAAGAUGAGCCAAAGUCGGAUUAGCUAGUUGGUGAGGUAAUGGCUCACCAAGGCGACGAUCCGUAGCUGGUCUGAGAGGACGACCAGCCACACUGGAACUGAGACACGGUCCAGACUCCUACGGGAGGCAGCAGUGGGGAAUAUUGGACAAUGGGGGAAACCCUGAUCCAGCGACGCCGCGUGUGUGAAGAAGGCCUGCGGGUUGUAAAGCACUUUCAAUGGGGAGGAAAACCUGCCGGUCAAUACCCGGUAGCUUGACAUUACCUUUAGAAGAAGCACCGGCUAACUCCGUGCCAGCAGCCGCGGUAAUACGGAGGGUGCGAGCGUUAAUCGGAAUUACUGGGCGUAAAGCGUGCGUAGGCGGUUAACUAAGUCAGAUGUGAAAGCCCCGGGCUUAACCUGGGAACUGCAUUUGAUACUGGUUAACUAGAGUUGAGUAGAGGGGAGUGGAAUUUCAGGUGUAGCGGUGAAAUGCGUAGAUAUCUGAAGGAACACCAGUGGCGAAGGCGACUCCCUGGACUCAAACUGACGCUGAGGUACGAAAGCGUGGGUAGCAAACAGGAUUAGAUACCCUGGUAGUC